This 1270-nucleotide ribosomal RNA is filed under the name Bacillus atrophaeus. Its description in RNAcentral is "bacterial SSU rRNA". It matches the Rfam family "Bacterial small subunit ribosomal RNA", at positions 68 to 1321 of the family's 1533-position model. The record is from RNAcentral. Lineage: Bacteria; Bacillati; Bacillota; Bacilli; Caryophanales; Bacillaceae.
GGACAGAUGGGAGCUUGCUCCCUGAUGUUAGCGGCGGACGGGUGAGUAACACGUGGGUAACCUGCCUGUAAGACUGGGAUAACUCCGGGAAACCGGGGCUAAUACCGGAUGCUUGUUUGAACCGCAUGGUUCAAACAUAAAAGGUGGCUUCGGCUACCACUUACAGAUGGACCCGCGGCGCAUUAGCUAGUUGGUGAGGUAAUGGCUCACCAAGGCAACGAUGCGUAGCCGACCUGAGAGGGUGAUCGGCCACACUGGGACUGAGACACGGCCCAGACUCCUACGGGAGGCAGCAGUAGGGAAUCUUCCGCAAUGGACGAAAGUCUGACGGAGCAACGCCGCGUGAGUGAUGAAGGUUUUCGGAUCGUAAAGCUCUGUUGUUAGGGAAGAACAAGUGCCGUUCAAAUAGGGCGGCACCUUGACGGUACCUAACCAGAAAGCCACGGCUAACUACGUGCCAGCAGCCGCGGUAAUACGUAGGUGGCAAGCGUUGUCCGGAAUUAUUGGGCGUAAAGGGCUCGCAGGCGGUUUCUUAAGUCUGAUGUGAAAGCCCCCGGCUCAACCGGGGAGGGUCAUUGGAAACUGGGGAACUUGAGUGCAGAAGAGGAGAGUGGAAUUCCACGUGUAGCGGUGAAAUGCGUAGAGAUGUGGAGGAACACCAGUGGCGAAGGCGACUCUCUGGUCUGUAACUGACGCUGAGGAGCGAAAGCGUGGGGAGCGAACAGGAUUAGAUACCCUGGUAGUCCACGCCGUAAACGAUGAGUGCUAAGUGUUAGGGGGUUUCCGCCCCUUAGUGCUGCAGCUAACGCAUUAAGCACUCCGCCUGGGGAGUACGGUCGCAAGACUGAAACUCAAAGGAAUUGACGGGGGCCCGCACAAGCGGUGGAGCAUGUGGUUUAAUUCGAAGCAACGCGAAGAACCUUACCAGGUCUUGACAUCCUCUGACAACCCUAGAGAUAGGGCUUCCCCUUCGGGGGCAGAGUGACAGGUGGUGCAUGGUUGUCGUCAGCUCGUGUCGUGAGAUGUUGGGUUAAGUCCCGCAACGAGCGCAACCCUUGAUCUUAGUUGCCAGCAUUCAGUUGGGCACUCUAAGGUGACUGCCGGUGACAAACCGGAGGAAGGUGGGGAUGACGUCAAAUCAUCAUGCCCCUUAUGACCUGGGCUACACACGUGCUACAAUGGACAGAACAAAGGGCAGCGAGACCGCGAGGUUAAGCCAAUCCCACAAAUCUGUUCUCAGUUCGGAUCGCAGUCUGCAACUCGACUGCGU